AGAAAAUGUGUCUUGUUUGUUGCUGCAUUCCCAGAACCUAGCAUUGGGCUUGCACGUAGUAUGUGUUCAAUAUUUGUUUUAAAAUAAAUUAAUGGAUAAUAUAUCACUCUGUGGUUCAUUGACUCAAUGAUUGUGCAGGGAUUGAGGUACUAUGGUAUGACUAGCCAGAAAAAUGUGACUAUAGAGGCUAUGCAGGUUGUUACAGGGGUACCAUUUACAUAAAUUCUACAAAGCUAUUGUUCUGAGAAAGACAUUCUUGGAAACUAUGAAUAAAUAGUUUUUUGCACACUAAUAAUUAUUUAUUCUUAAGAGUUGAUUUCAAUGACUAAAACAAUUGAAAUACUUAUAGUUUUUUUAAAAAUGUGGUAUUUUAAAUAGGACUCAGAGAUGUGACCUGUGUAAUGUUUCCUUUCUUCUUAUUUUUAAAAAUAAUCUAAGAUUUUGAAAUGGGACUUAGGGGGAAUGCUGGAAUGGUGGAUGUGUCUAAGUGGUCUAACCAAACUGUAAUCAUGACACUCCUCUCUGCCUGACCUUUUCACUCCCUACACUCAGUGGUGAGAUAAGAUUUGUCCUUGUGACUUCAGAAUGAUGAGGUUAUUAGGGAGGCUGUCUGGGUAAUUUACUAGAUAUCUGAUUUUGGGAAAGUCACUUAACCUCUUUGUGCCUUGGUUUUGUCCUCAAGGGCUGUUGUGAAGUUCAAGUGAAAUAAUAAAUAUUACAAUGCUUAGGGAACUGCAGAAGUUAUUUGAAUGUACAGUUUUAUACUUAUUGUUUGUGUGUGUUUGUCGGGGGAGGUGAAGUCGGGGGUUCCUUGCCUCUUCUCCCGUGUUUCUGAUCUUGCCUUCAGGUGAAGUCAUGCCUCAGACUGCCUUCUCCCACUUCCAGGAUUCCUCUAUGUUGAUAAGGGAGGAAGAUUUUCUGCUCAGAUGUGUCCACAGUCCUGGUGGGCACGAUUACAGUUCCUUCAAGGCAAAGGACUCGGCUCUCCUUGCUGCUCCAUCACAUCCUCACAGCACCUGAUCUAAACAGUAUACUGGAUUGGAAACCCGUUCAAUCUGACAUUUGCUGAGGAAUGGAGAAGGACCAUUGGUGAUUUCUCCAGGCUCACUCCUGUGCCCCUCCUUGCAUUGCAAGUGCUUUACAAGUCUUCCUGAUAGACCAGGAGCAUCCUGAGGUCUAGUAUCAAAUGGAACUCAUCUCCUAUCCUCAGGGCCUGGUACAGAAUGCUGGAUGUAGGAGGAGUUCAGUAAGUAUAUGCUAUAUAAAUGACAAAUGAAUGAGUGAAUAAAUAAGUAAAGGAAUGACUUGAUUCUUCCUCUACCACCAAUUCAGAAGACUUGGCUGAAAGGGUGGGAGAGGGAAUUAGGAUUCUGCAAAGAAGACCAUGAUUGAGUUUUGAGGAAAAAAUAAAAACUUCAGACAAAGAACUUUUUGUUUUUCUCCUGGUGCUCUCCCUUUUCUCUCCAACAGCCUCUUGUUCUUUUUGUGAUUGACACCCCUCACUAUACUAUACACAUCCUAUCUGUUUGGUUCCAUGUUAUAUUCUCAAAUGCUUUGUACAAUGCUUGGCACAUAACUGUAGCUCAAUGAGUGGAAACCCAGUCAACACACACACAUUGAACAUAUAUUCUGUAUCCCAGUUUUUGAGCUAGGUGUUGAGGGUACAGAUUGAAAGAUAAAAAAAUUUGGGCACUGUUCUCAAUUUGCUCAGCUUAAUGAGAAGAGGACAUAGGAAGGAGAGCCUCCUCCUCAGCUGGUUUAGCUUCUUAGUAUGCUCCUAACAAUGUAAAUGCUAGCCUAGAGGAAGUACAUUCAUUCACCCCUUUAUUAAUUCCAGUCUCCAUAGAUUUAUUUGAAAUCUCUUUGCAGGGCUUACAGAAUGUGUCUGUUAAAAUUCCAGAAGGAAAGCAGACUCAAACUGGGCAAUUAAAGAAAAAUUGAAGGAUUUAUUUAUAAAGGUAUAGGGAUGUUGUAUGGAAACCCCAAGGAUAGUGCAAUGCCCUUGGGCAACAGCAGCUCCCUAUUUUUAACCUUGUGUGUGAGACACAAUGGGAGGGAACAGUUAACAGAAUCUAGACACAGAACAUAUUAUGGAGAAGACCAUCUGGCAGGAGAUGUGCCCUUAUGCCAAGGAUGCAACAGCCUGAGAUGACUGCAAAGGAGCAAGGUUGACCUCACUUUCCUUCUCUCUGGUCUCCUACAGUGCUCUUCAUUGCUUGACUCACCUGGAAGUCAGGGAGGAAGCCCUUUGAUAAAGUCCAAACAGUUCAGGCUCUAAGGGCAUAGAGCUGGUGAUGAGGGGUUGGGCAUGGAUCUGGGAGAACAAAUGGGAGAUAGACACUUCAUUAUAUUAGAUAAGGAAAAAAAAAAAAAAGUGAAACAACAACCUGCACCCAUUCGACAACAUACACAUUUGGGAACAAGAAGAUGAGAAGAAGAGUAGAGGCAGCAUUAUAUUUCUGACUGUUUGUUUGGUUGCUGGGGUGUUAUUACUAAACCAAGUCAUCAAUAUCUCCUCUUCACGACUGUCUGAAAAUAUGCAGCUUUGCUGUUAGCAAGAUCGGACUUCACAGGGUGCCUAUGAAGUUGACCUCAAUGGCCUGACCUGCACUGGCCUUCUAUAGGCCACUUUUUAAUUCAAUUACCAGAUAAAGUGACUUGGAGCUCCUAUCCUGUCUAGAGUGGUCAGUCCAGUGCCCUCAUGAAGACUUAAGGGGAUUCAUGGCAUAGGUGACUAUGAUCUCCUAUAGUUUCUUGUUAUAAAUUUUGGCUUCUUGAUCAACCAGUUCACACUUAGGCCUCUUGGGACAUUGCCCCUGCCUCUCCCUACUCUGUCCCAUUUAUUGACAGGAGUUUUCUUCAUUCAAAGCAUCACUGAUGGAUGGCAGCUAUGUAUUAGACUUUUACUAAAAAUUUAGGGAUGACUACAGGGAUUAUAGCAGAGAACAGGAACUAGCCUAAAAUGUAAACUAGGUUACUAGACGUCUGAAAAACUGCCAGCCUCUCUACCCACAGCAAAUCCUCACUCGCUGUAUUUACGUUCAGGUUGUAUUUGCAGACAUGUUUUAUUAGAUCACUACUGCAAAAUUCCUAUUACUUUGUGUGUAGAACUUUUUUUUUUUAAAGUCCUUCUCAUCCAGAACAAUGUAGGAGGCCUUACUAUAGACAAAGUUUCCAUUUUUGUAAACAGUUGAAAGUCUCUGAAUUUUAUUCUUAAAAAAAAAAAGCAAUCUAGCUGUCAUACUAAGAACAGGAAUCUGAUUGCAUAAGUUUGACAUCAAAUUAUUACUAUAUUACUACUACGAUUGCUAUUAAGAUUACUGAUGUUAUAAACAUAAAACAAUUGGGCAGUUUUGUGCCACCUUAGCUUAGAGGCCUAAGCACAUGCUCUGAUCCCUGAUCUGAAGCAGUUUGGGGUGGGCAACAGAGUGGAACUGUGGAUGUCACAGAUAUGUCACACACAUGAAUCUACUUGGAGUGAUUUCCUUAGAAGGGGCUGUGAGGACGGCAUAUAUUCACAUUUUCAAUCUGUACUCCAGUUGGGUAUGGCUGGUCUUCAAGAGGAUGAAACCAAUAUCCUGACUAAGGGCUCAGUAGUCUGCUUAAUAAAUGGAUGGAGGAAAUCUACUCAGUGGCAUAAUUGUGCUUUUCCACACUUGAAAUAAUCUCAAAUACAUGAGAUUAUUUAUGAGUUUGUGUGCACUUGUUCCUGACGAAUCAGAAUAAAUUCUUCAAAGUAUUCCCGGUAGACAGCAGGAGUUUGUGCUCUGCAUUUUGAAAUCUUCCAUGGAGACUGGAAGAAUACCUAGUACACUAUGGACACCUAACUCGCUAAGUGAAUAAACGGAACAAAUGAUCCGACAGACGAUAUCACGGGACUUUGGAAUGCUCACCUUAAUGCUCAACUUGGUUAAUUCUUACUUAUUCCUGUACAUCUUAGCCCCUUAUAAUCUAUGUCAUUAUACUCAUUAGAUUUUCCACUUGCACUCUAUCUUCCCAUCACAUUUGCAAUUGCAUUGUUUGAAUUGUAUUGUUUGAAUAUGUAUUUGUACAUGUGUUUGUGAUUAUUGAUUGAACUUCUUUAUUCUUCUCUAUACUUUAGGCUUCCCUGAGGGGAGGCUGUGUCUGUGUUACCUGCUCUUUUUAAAGGAAUGGUUCAGUGCCUGGAAAGGAGAAGGUAUUUAUGACAGAGAUGGAAUAAUAUUCACAAAACCCAUUUCCUCUUUAUCACCACCAUGAGUCAGGCUACACUUCCUAGUCUCAGUUGCAGUUAAGUAUGGCCAUUUGUUGGAGUUCCAGCCAAUGGGAUGUGAGGGGCAGUAACAUGAGCCACCCCCAAGGCUUACUCUUUAAAACCUCCCAUGUGCGAUUUUCUAUGCUCUUUCCUCCUGCCUCUGGCUUGUGGAAGCAAGUACAGUGGCAUUGGAAACCACAUAUUGAAGGUAGGGAAGCCAUGAGAUGGAAGGAACCUGGGUCCCUGAAUGAUCCUGUGGAAGAAAGCCAUCACCAAUCAGGAUUACCUGUUGAGAACUACCCUUGAAGAAGAAAUGUUUAUGGGAUUUGAGUUUUCUUAUAUUUUGAGUUUGGAGAGAGUUACCUCAACUCAUACAGUAUUAAUUUUUGUGUUGUAAUUAUUAGAUAUAUACAGAGGAGCAAAUAUUCAGGAUGCAGAUCGUGUCAUUAGAAAUAUUGAGUCCUGAUAUAUUAUGGCAAUCUUCAAGGCACUAGAAGGAAAAUGGUUCCAUAAGAAUGAGGUGGUAUCCCAGCUAUCCAGUACUCCCUCCUCCACACUGCAGUUAACAGAGGCUUGUCCCACUUCGUACCCAUGCAAAUACUCUCUUCUCUAACACACCUAAUUUCCCUAGUGCUCUCCAUCCUCAAAUGGUCCUGUAUUCCUUUUUGUGCCAUUGAAAAAUCCAACACUUUACCAGGCAGGAAUGAUCUUUUGAAACCAAUUUGUAUUAAGGAGUAAAGUACUAUUUUCUGCUUUACUUUCACAGGGAGUGUAUGCAUUUCUAGGGAGACUGGCAAAAAUUAGUCUCUCAUUGCUGAUAUUUCAGGAGUAGUGUAAAAUGAAGCAAGCAUUAUUAAGCAGUAACAGGCAGUUUACAGUCUAAUCAUCAUGAACUGUUUGCAUUACUCCACUCAGAAUAGCAGAGAAGACUGAUGGAGGAAGCUUGAGGUCUUGAUAAGACAUAGAACAGCCUUGCCAGCCCAGAUGCCAACUUCUGAACUUCUUGAUUGAAAGAAUAUCAUUCCUAACUGAAAUGGUUGCCAAUGUUUCCCCAUGACAAUGUACUUCCUCCAGAAUCAUGGAUGUCAGGGGAAUAAGAAGAGAGAGUGCAAAUUCAGAGGUUAUGGGGCCAGGAGUACCAUAGAGAUACUUAAUAGUGGGUUAACUCUGAUAAAGGUACAAGGAAUAAGGUGGUCUGGCAACUGCAAAGUAAUCUACUCACCAAGAACAUGGCUUUGCAGAGGAAUGGAAUGAAGAGGUCUGUAUAAAGUGUGUGACUUCCAAACCAAAGUUUAGUUAAGACUUAGAUAAGUAUAGCACCAUGUUACUCUCAUAAGUCCCAGACUCCCUGCCUCACCCUCAUCACCUGUGGCCUGACUAAGGAUUUUAGUUCUCAAGUACACUUAGAUUUAGCGCUUAACCCUUCAUUUCAAGAAGGUUGGUUGGGAUCUGAGGCCAUCAGAUCCUGCCAUCCCUUCUUCUUACGGAGCUAGAUUCAGACAGACCUCUUUGAUGCACAGUAAGACCCUUACAUGACAAUGACGUAUCCCUUCCUAAAAGGCCCUGAAUCUGUUCUCCACCUUUGAGACUCUUCCCUAGCCCCGUUUCUUUAUACAGCCCUUCAUGGCACCCCUCCUUCAUGGCCUGCACAUGCCUUACUCAUUUCCACAUCCCCUGGGCUCAGCGUGUGGCUUGGCACACAUAAAGUGCUCAGUCUGUAUAGACUGACUACAUACAAUGACUUAGUAAUUUGCUGAACUGGCUCCAUCCUGGAAAAAAGACCAACUCUUGCUGCUCUAAUUAUUUUCCCUGCUUCUCAUUGGCUUAAGUUUAUGGCUACAUAAUCAAAGCUACUCAGGACUGGAACAAGAGAUAGAUGCAACUCUUCCCAACAGAGGGAAUGAAAGAAUGGGACAUGUCAAACAUAACAAGAUGCAGAGGGAAAGAAACAAGAACCUCCUGUUAUUACCAAACAUUUUGGGUAUUGGACCUUUUUCCUAAAGGGAAAUUGAGCUAGGAGAACUCUACACCAGGAAGAUGAGAUAGUUGUUUAUAUUGGAGAGGACUGAAGAGAGUAAAAUAGAUGGCUUUAAAUCUAACAUUUUGACAUAUAUUGAUCAAAACAUGGUUAAAUAAAUCCUAACAAUAACAUUUCAAUGGUAAUUAUAUUCAUGAUGAUUACUAUAACCGUCAUUACUGUCACUACCUCCUUUGCUACCACUAUCACCACCAUUUCUUGGACAUCUAUUAUCUGGGACUAAGCUUUGUGAUUUUGCCAACAUUACCUCACUUGAUCCUAUAAAUUUGAGAGAGAGACAAAGAGACAGACAGAGAGAGAGAGAGAGAGAGAGAGAGAAAGAGAGAGAGAGAGAAUCUCUUUUGCUCCAGGAUCUAUUUUCAAGGGAAUCCAGCCUAAGAUGUCAAGCCUUAUGUUAGGCUAAGGAUAUGUUAGCCUAUCUAAAUUGGGAUAUUUGAGCUACCUGACAAAAAUGAGUAUA
Cercocebus atys (sooty mangabey) is the source of this 6732-nucleotide long non-coding RNA. RefSeq lists it as uncharacterized. The record is from RefSeq and is a predicted model, not a curated record. NCBI's taxonomy places the organism in Eukaryota, Metazoa, Chordata, Mammalia, Primates, Cercopithecidae. The transcript has 3 exons.